AUCUGGCUAUGCUGACCAUUGAUAAUCCCAGCUCUAUGAGAUCUUCAAUUUGAAGGUCUAGUAAUAGAUGUUUAUUAUUUUUUCUCUUAGCUUGUAA
Molecule: non-coding RNA, 97 nt
Organism: Populus trichocarpa (black cottonwood)
Lineage: Eukaryota; Viridiplantae; Streptophyta; Magnoliopsida; Malpighiales; Salicaceae
Source: Rfam